ACGGUGAAGCAGAGCUUGCUCUGUGGAUCAGUGGCGAACGGGUGAGUAACACGUGAGCAACCUGCCCUGGACUCUGGGAUAAGCGCUGGAAACGGCGUCUAAUACUGGAUAUGAGACGUGGCCGCAUGGUCAACGUUUGGAAAGAUUUUUCGGUCUGGGAUGGGCUCGCGGCCUAUCAGCUUGUUGGUGAGGUAAUGGCUCACCAAGGCGUCGACGGGUAGCCGGCCUGAGAGGGUGACCGGCCACACUGGGACUGAGACACGGCCCAGACUCCUACGGGAGGCAGCAGUGGGGAAUAUUGCACAAUGGGCGGAAGCCUGAUGCAGCAACGCCGCGUGAGGGAUGACGGCCUUCGGGUUGUAAACCUCUUUUAGCAGGGAAGAAGCGAAAGUGACGGUACCUGCAGAAAAAGCACCGGCUAACUACGUGCCAGCAGCCGCGGUAAUACGUAGGGUGCAAGCGUUAUCCGGAAUUAUUGGGCGUAAAGAGCUCGUAGGCGGUUUGUCGCGUCUGCUGUGAAAUCUGGGGGCUCAACCCCCAGCCUGCAGUGGGUACGGGCAGACUAGAGUGCGGUAGGGGAGAUUGGAAUUCCUGGUGUAGCGGUGGAAUGCGCAGAUAUCAGGAGGAACACCGAUGGCGAAGGCAGAUCUCUGGGCCGUAACUGACGCUGAGGAGCGAAAGGGUGGGGAGCAAACAGGCUUAGAUACCCUGGUAGUCCACCCCGUAAACGUUGGGAACUAGUUGUGGGGUCCAUUCCACGGAUUCCGUGACGCAGCUAACGCAUUAAGUU
This 790-nucleotide ribosomal RNA is filed under the name Microbacterium sp. TGR6. RNAcentral's name for it is "bacterial SSU rRNA". It matches the Rfam family "Bacterial small subunit ribosomal RNA", at positions 66 to 866 of the family's 1533-position model. Lineage: Bacteria; Bacillati; Actinomycetota; Actinomycetes; Micrococcales; Microbacteriaceae. The record is from RNAcentral.